RNAcentral lists this ribosomal RNA (227 nucleotides) under Aspergillus wisconsinensis. RNAcentral describes it as "partial 28S ribosomal RNA". It matches the Rfam family "Eukaryotic large subunit ribosomal RNA", at positions 1 to 219 of the family's 3401-position model. Lineage: Eukaryota; Fungi; Ascomycota; Eurotiomycetes; Eurotiales; Aspergillaceae. The record is from RNAcentral.
UUUAAGGUUGACCUCGGAUCAGGUAGGGAUACCCGCUGAACUUAAGCAUAUCAAUAAGCGGAGGAAAAGAAACCAACCGGGAUUGCCUCAGUAACGGCGAGUGAAGCGGCAAGAGCUCAAAUUUGAAAUCUGGCCCCCUCGGGGUCCGAGUUGUAAUUUGCAGAGGAUGCUUCGGAUGCGGCCCCUGUCUAAGUGCCCUGGAACGGGCCGUCGGAGAGGGUGAGAAU